Molecule: unclassified non-coding RNA, 253 nt
Filed under: uncultured Planctomycetales bacterium
Lineage: Bacteria; Pseudomonadati; Planctomycetota; Planctomycetia; Planctomycetales
Description: contains 16S-23S intergenic spacer region
Rfam family: Bacterial small subunit ribosomal RNA
Source: RNAcentral
UACAGAGGCCCCAAGCGUUAGGCGGAAUCACUGGGCUUAAAGCGUGUGCAGGCGGCCCGUCAAGUGCUUUGUGAAAGCCCACGGCUCAACCGUGGAAAUGCUUGGCAUACUGACGGGCUUGGAUCAUCCAGGGGCGAGUGGAACUCACGGUGGAGCGGUGAAAUGCAUAGAUAUCGUGAGGAACGCCAGAGGCGAAAGCGACUCGCUGGGGAUGUAUCGACGCUCAGACACGAAAGCUAGGGUAGCGAACGGG